Molecule: ribosomal RNA, 466 nt
Filed under: uncultured bacterium
Lineage: Bacteria
Description: partial 16S ribosomal RNA
Rfam family: Bacterial small subunit ribosomal RNA
Source: RNAcentral
GAUGAACGCUGGCGGCGUGCUUAACACAUGCAAGUCGAACGGAAAGGCUCCUGCUUGCAGGGGUACUCGAGUGGCGAACGGGUGAGUAACACGUGGGUGAUCUGCCCUGCACUUCGGGAUAAGCCUGGGAAACUGGGUCUAAUCUCGGAUAGGACGAUGGCUUGGAUUCCAUUGUGGAAAGUUUUUUCGGUGUGGGGUGAGCUCGCGGCCUAUCCGCUUGUUGGUGGGGUAAUGGCCUAUCAAGGCGUCGACGGGUAGCCGGCCUGAGAGGGUGUACGGCCACAUUGGGACUGAGAUACGGCCCAGACGCCUACGGGAGGCAGCAGUGGGGAAUAUUGCACAAUGGGCGCAAGCCUGAUGCAGCGACGCCGCGUGGGGGAUGACGGCCUUCGGGUUGUAAACUCCUUUCGCUAGGGACGAAGCGCAAGUGACGGUACCUGGAGAAGAAGCACCGGCUAACUACGUG